GUCGAGGGGCAGCAUGGUGUAGCAAUACACUGAUGGCGACCGGCAAACGGGUGCGGAACACGUACAGAACCUUCCUUCAAGCGGGGAAUAGCCCAGAGAAAUUUGGAUUAAUACCCCAUAGCAUAAUGGAGUGGCAUCACUUUGUUAUUAAAGAUUUAUCACUUGAAGAUGGCUGUGCGGCUGAUUAGGUAGUUGGCGGGGUAACGGCCCACCAAGCCUGCGAUCAGUAACUGGUGUGAGAGCACGACCAGUCACACGGGCACUGAGACACGGGCCCGACUCCUACGGGAGGCAGCAGUAAGGAAUAUUGGUCAAUGGACGAAAGUCUGAACCAGCCAUGCCGCGUGGAGGAUGAAGGUCCUCUGGAUUGUAAACUUCUUUUAUCUGGGACGAAAAAAGGUCUUUCUAGAUCGUCUGACGGUACCAGAUGAAUAAGCACCGGCUAACUCCGUGCCAGCAGCCGCGGUAAUACGGAGGGUGCAAGCGUUAUCCGGAUUCACUGGGUUUAAAGGGUGCGUAGGUGGGUUGGUAAGUCAGUGGUGAAAUCUUCGAGCUUAACUCGGAAACUGCCAUUGAUACUAUCAGUCUUGAAUAUUGUGGAGGUUAGCGGAAUAUGUCAUGUAGCGGUGAAAUGCUUAGAUAUGACAUAGAACACCAAUUGCGAAGGCAGCUGGCUACACAUAUAUUGACACUGAGGCACGAAAGCGUGGGGAUCAAACAGGAUUAGAUACCCUGGUAGUCCACGCCCUAAACU
RNAcentral lists this ribosomal RNA (754 nucleotides) under uncultured bacterium. Its description in RNAcentral is "bacterial SSU rRNA". It matches the Rfam family "Bacterial small subunit ribosomal RNA", at positions 61 to 808 of the family's 1533-position model. The record is from RNAcentral.